AACAACCUUUACAAAAACGAUAAACGAAUACAGAAUAACAUAAGAAAUGUAUAGAGUGCCGCUGGGAACAUACACAUCAACUCAAAUACUAUAACAACCUCCAAGACUGGGAAACCCACGGGCAAUAGAGGCUAAGAAUAACAACAUAACAUGGGGCUCUAACAUCUGGAAGUGUCUAUAACAACUGAAUACGUGAAAUGGAACUGCUAACUAAAAGGUAGAAUGGGACUCUUCUGAUUUGCGGACACGCAAGAUGGAUACCUCAAGUCUCCAAGUGCAGCUCUGAAGUCACUGACAGCGCGCUCGACCAGAAGUACCUGGAUCUGCACAACAAAAGUGUGCAGAAGAGUAGCAUGAGUAUAGCACAGCGGUACUCAGUAAGUGUCAAGCCUAACCUCAGUUGGGUAGUGACGAGGAAGGUCGAGGCCCUACUGAUAUAAACAUAAGAAUAAAUAUAAAAUAAGUAGACAAUAAGAAAUACAGUAAAUCUCGCAUAUCAAGCAAAACAAUAAGUAGAACGGAACAUGCUACAAAUACCAUCUACCAAUACAUGAACAAUCACUCAAUAUACGGAUGCCACAUGGAGCUACGGUAAUUGAACCCGCAAUCCAUUCUUACCAAUAUCUGAGGAUCUUCCGGGAAUUGAACCUGUAGUCCAUCAUGUCAAUAAUAGAGGAUCUUACGGGAAUUGAACCCGUAGUCUGUCAUACCCAUAACAGAGGAUCUCCCGGGAAUCGAACCUGUAGUCUAUCAUAUCAAUAUCAGAGGAUCUUCCGAUAAUUGAACACGUAGUCCAUCAUGCCAAUAACAGAGGAUCUCCCGAGAAUCGAACCCGUAGUCCAUCAUAUCAAUAUCAUAAGAUCUUUCGGGAAUUGAACCCGUAAAUCGUCAUACCAAUAACGGAGGAUCUCCCGGGAAUCAAACCCGUAGUCCAGCAUAUCAAUAAACACAUCACAACAAAUCAAUACUAACAGGAAGAAUCUAAGUACAAGCAACAUAUAAAAAUCUAGAGUAUAGCAUGCUCGCGGGAAGACAGAUAUUGCAAUUUAGUCAAGUAGAGAAAAUAAGUUACUAAAUUGCUUUCCCUAAACUAAAACAAGUGAAAUUGAAUUUUUAACAGUCAAGUACGUGAAGAAACACAGUCUAAAUAAGUCAUGUAAGGUAAAUUUUCAACAACUAGGACAAGUACGUGCCCGUCACCUCGCGCACAAGGCAUUUUAAACAACAUUAAUGAUAUCCUAAGGGGAUAUGUCCCCCACACAAAGUUAGACAAGCCACAUACCUCGAACCGGUAUAAAACCGCUAAGAAACAAUUCCCUUGCCACGAGUAUCCGGCUCCAAGUGGUCCAAAUCUAUUCAAACUAAUUACAUAUCGUAAAUAACAUCACAAGUAACUAAUUUCACUGUUAAAAUUAAAGCUAAGGCGUGAAAUUAGGUAAAAUAAACUAAAUUCCCCUCUGGCCAACAUCUCAGAAUCAAAUAGUUUUAACAUUUUCAAAAAUCUCGUACUCUCACAAGUCUAACCAUAUAAAAAUAUCCCAAAUCGGAGGUCAAAUGCCCCUGCAAAUCCUUACAAUUAGGUCUAAGAACUUUACCCCAAUGUUUAUUCAAAAUCCAAAAUUAAAGGUUGAAAUCAUGAUUAGAUUAGUAUGUUUUAGUCAUAAAGAAGUAAGGAAUCAUUACCCAAUAGUUGCCUCUGAAAAUCCCUCGAAAAAUCUCCCAAAAUCGAGCUCUCUAGCUUGAGUUUGAUAAAAAUGGAAGAACCCUCGUUUUUUGAAAAAUUUAUAACUGUUCUGAUACUUUGUUCAAUGUGAUCGCAGGAAUACGUCUGCGAUCGCGGAGAGUAAAAUUGAAGGGCCUUGGAUAAUGGUCUAUGCAAACGCGGGGAUGGGCCUGCGAUCGCGGAAAAGGAAGGAAGCGGAUCUAUAUGAUCGCAUUAAAGGCCUUGCGAUCGCGUAGAAGGAGUUGGGCUCUGAGACACCGGCUCAGCUAACUCAGUGCGAUCGUGGGAAGGAGUUUGCGAUAACGAAGAAGCGGAAACAGCAUCUAUGCGAUCGCAGCAGGAGAUGUGCGAUCGCAUUGAAGGAAAAGGGCUACCUCUGAAAUUCCACUACCCGAUCACAUGGAUGAGGUGCAAUCGCAGAGAAAAAAAGUUUGCAACAUCUACAGCAGAAAAUCUGCAACUGUCUAGACUUGUACCAAUCCUUAAGCCACCUAAAACAACGCCGGAAGCACAAAUUAAUCAAUGAUUUGAACUUAAAAACUUCAAAACUCAACCAAACUCGCUUUCGAUUCAAAACCUAACCAAAAAACGUCCGAUUGACAUGAAAUUUUGCACGCACAUCCCAAAUGACAUGACGGUACUGUAGCAACUUCCGGAUCUCGUUCUGGCCCUCGGAUCAAAAAUUUACUAUCGGACCGAAAACUUCAAAAUUCUAACUUCCGGCAUUUCUACCCUAAAUGAGCUACGGACACCCAAAAUAUAUUCCGAAUACGCUCCCAACCGUGAAAUCACCUAACGGAGCAAACGGAACCAUCGGAAUUCCAAUUCGAGAUCGCCUUCACACUGUUCUGAUUACGAACCAUUUUCCAACACUUAAACUCUCAUUUAGGGACUAAGUGUCUGAAACACACCAAAUUCUAUUGCCGAACAUCCUAGAAAACCAAAAUAGCAGAAAUGAACUUAGGUAAAGCAGUUAUUCGGGAAACGGGAUAUAAAUUCCAAAGACGACCGGGCGGGUCGUCACACACAGUGAAAAACAUAAAUCAAUACUAAAAUCAGAAGGAAA
RNAcentral lists this long non-coding RNA (2789 nucleotides) under Nicotiana benthamiana. Its description in RNAcentral is "long non-coding RNA (NBEN_LNC016547)". Lineage: Eukaryota; Viridiplantae; Streptophyta; Magnoliopsida; Solanales; Solanaceae. The record is from RNAcentral.